Molecule: ribosomal RNA, 465 nt
Filed under: uncultured bacterium
Lineage: Bacteria
Description: partial 16S ribosomal RNA
Rfam family: Bacterial small subunit ribosomal RNA
Source: RNAcentral
GACGAACGCUGGCGGCGUGCUUAACACAUGCAAGUCGUACGGUAAGGCCCUUUCGGGGGUCCACGAGUGGCGAACGGGUGAGUAACACGUGAGUAACCUGCCCACAACUUUGGGAUAACGCUAGGAAACUGGUGCUAAUACUGGAUAUGUGCUCCUGCUGCAUGGUGGGGGUUGGAAAGCUCCGGCGGUUGUGGAUGGACUCGCGGCCUAUCAGCUUGUUGGUGGGGUAGUGGCCUACCAAGGCGGCGACGGGUAGCCGGCCUGAGAGGGUGACCGGCCACAUUGGGGCUGAGAUACGGCCCAGACUCCUACGGGAGGCAGCAGUGGGGAAUAUUGCACAAUGGGCGCAAGCCUGAUGCAGCAACGCCGCGUGCGGGAUGACGGCCUUCGGGUUGUAAACCGCUUUCAGCAGGGACGAAGCUUUUUGUGACGGUACCUGCAGAAGAAGCACCGGCUAACUACGUG